UGAGAAAUUAAGGACUCCGAGUAUGUAC
RNAcentral lists this small RNA (28 nucleotides) under Bombyx mori (domestic silkworm). Its description in RNAcentral is "ovarian small RNA-32108". Lineage: Eukaryota; Metazoa; Arthropoda; Insecta; Lepidoptera; Bombycidae. The record is from RNAcentral.